UACAGAGGUCUCAAGCGUUGUUCGGAUUCAUUGGGCGUAAAGGGUGCGUAGGCGGCGCGGUAAGUCGGGUGUGAAAUCUCGGGGCUUAACUCCGAAACUGCAUUCGAUACUGCCGUGCUUGAGGACUGGAGAGGAGACUGGAAUUUACGGUGUAGCAGUGAAAUGCGUAGAUAUCGUGAGGAAGACCAGUGGCGAAGGCGGAUCUCUGGACAGUUCCUGACGCUGAGGCGCGAAGGCCAGGGGAGCAAACGGG
This 253-nucleotide ribosomal RNA is filed under the name uncultured bacterium. RNAcentral's name for it is "partial 16S ribosomal RNA". It matches the Rfam family "Bacterial small subunit ribosomal RNA", at positions 524 to 776 of the family's 1533-position model. The record is from RNAcentral.